GGGGAGAGCAGCGUUCGAGGCUGUCAAUGGCUGCCAGUUGUCUCGUUGCCGAAGGUGUCAAGGACCCCGCAUCUAAAAUUGUACGUGCUCGUAUCCCGAAGCGGUCACGCUUGCCUCGACCAAAGAGAAGGGCGCUAGUCGGGCCGGUCAAGUUGAAGGCCGAAGCUGCCAACCACGGGUACAGUCCCUCUUCUUCGCCCUUCUUCCCACCAGGCCAACGAUCUUACAAGUGGCCCUUCCCUUGGGCCCUUCGCGCUUCAGCAAUGCGGAACUCGACAACAGUCAAGGUCAACGCGCAAGAUUCUGUUACGCAUAAUGGUUUAUGACCGAGUCGAGGUGAUGAUGAGUUUUAGGUUUUAUGGGAGAAGACUUUGGACGCAAGAUUGUUGGGUUUAUGGGAUCGAUCGUUAGACUUUUAGACCCAAAUGUUGAGCUUUUGUGGUCGAUUGUUUUUAUUUGUUCUAAGGAGAUUUAAAGAUUUUUGCCGUCUCUUUAUCUUCCAAUCAACGUAUGUUCUGGGCUAUCUUUUAUUUUUGUUGAACUAUCCCGUACCUUAUUUAAAUUUCCGGCGAUUGCUAUCGUACGUUGUCGUCAGAUUUCUUUAUGAAAUUUCCUGAAAUUCCUAUACUCUAACGAUACUGUUUAUUUCCUCCGAUCACGAUAAAAGUUUCUAACGAUAACUGUUACCUUUCCUCAUGAAUAUUAAGAUGAAGCGAUAGGAAAGUCGAAGCGAAGAUUCUUACAGGUACUUUCUACGAUACUUCUCUUCGUCGGAAAAGAAAAAAUAAAAUAACUUCAACCUUCUUACUCCAGCUACUUUUGCAAAGACACUGAAUGCUAAUAACAAUUGUAGAGCGUGUUAUACACUCGAAAAAUCGGACGCUGAACCCGAAAACAAUCGUUGAAAAGGAAGGAGAGUUUCGCGUGAAAUUCAAUAACUUGGGUGUCUAUACCACGGGUGAACUUCUAUUAUAUUUUGCUGAUCGGUUGCGAAAGUCUCGACACGUUUUGAGGUGGAUACCGUUACACGUGAUUGCGUUACAUGGUUGCAAGGGGAAAGAUAUUCUCAGCCUCCGUUCGAAAGUUGAUACAAUGUGCUCUUACUAAAAGUGAACGUCCAUACAGGAUGUUUCAGAGACAAAUUAUCCGGCAGUGACGAAACAGUUCCUAAAUCGAAUUACUCGGAGAAAAGAAUUAGCUGUAUAAUAACCUGCGAAAGUCUUUGGCCAGAUAGAUCGUAUUCGUAUACAUUCUUCGUCACGUUCUUUCAACGCUAGAACCAGCAAGUUUGUCAGGAUGA
RNAcentral lists this unclassified non-coding RNA (1300 nucleotides) under Bombus terrestris (buff-tailed bumblebee). RNAcentral describes it as "misc RNA ENSBTSG00005022200.1". Lineage: Eukaryota; Metazoa; Arthropoda; Insecta; Hymenoptera; Apidae. The record is from RNAcentral.